AACAAAGAGUUUCCUGGACAAACAUCAGUCGCCUAAUCUGAUUCUAGUGUUUACCCAAAUAGCAAAAAAACCAACAAAGGGUUUAGAAGAAGAAGAAGAAAAGCAGUAGAGGAGGAGAAAGAAAGACACAGAAAACAGAGAAGAUGACACAAUUUUCUCACUUCCUUGUGUGGUGCCAAUUGCCAAAGCUUUGAAUUUAAUAGGGACUUCUCUUCCA
This 217-nucleotide long non-coding RNA is filed under the name Prunus dulcis (almond). Its description in RNAcentral is "sRNA ncRNA". The record is from RNAcentral. Lineage: Eukaryota; Viridiplantae; Streptophyta; Magnoliopsida; Rosales; Rosaceae.